Molecule: ribosomal RNA, 468 nt
Filed under: uncultured bacterium
Lineage: Bacteria
Description: partial 16S ribosomal RNA
Rfam family: Bacterial small subunit ribosomal RNA
Source: RNAcentral
GACGAACGCUGGCGGCGUGCUUAACACAUGCAAGUCGAACGGAAAGGCCCUGCUUUUGUGGGGUUCUCGAGUGGCGAACGGGUGAGUAACACGUGAGUAACCUGCCCUUGACUUUGGGAUAACUUCAGGAAACUGGGGCUACUACCGGAUAGGAGCUCCUGCUGCAUGGUGGGGGUUGGAAAGUUUCGGCGGGUGGGGAUGGACUGGCGGCUUAUCAGCUUGUUGGUGGGGUGGUGGCUUACCAAGGCUUUGACGGGUAGCCGGCCUGAGAGGGUGACCGGCCACAUUGGGACUGAGGUACGGCCCAGACGGCUACGGGAGGCAGCAGUGGGGAAUAUUGCACAAUGGGCGGAAGCCUGAUGCAGAAACGCCGCGUGCGGGAUGACGGCCUUCUGGUUGUAGACCGCUUUCGCCUGUAACGCAGCGUGAGUGACGGUAAUGGGUAAAGAAGCACCGGCUAACUACGUG